GACGAACGCUGGCGGCGUGCUUAACACAUGCAAGUCGAACGGUGAAGCGAGUGCUUGCACUCGUGGAUCAGUGGCGAACGGGUGAGUAACACGUGAGUAACCUGCCCAUCACUCUGGGAUAAGCACUGGAAACGGUGUCUAAUACUGGAUACGACCAACCCUUGCAUGGGGUGUUGGUGGAAAGAUUUAUCGGUGAUGGAUGGACUCGCGGCCUAUCAGCUUGUUGGCGGGGUAAUGGCCCACCAAGGCGACGACGGGUAGCCGGCCUGAGAGGGUGACCGGCCACACUGGGACUGAGACACAGCCCAGACUCCUACGGGAGGCAGCAGUGGGGAAUAUUGCACAAUGGGCGAAAGCCUGAUGCAGCGACGCCGCGUGAGGGAUGACGGCCUUCGGGUUGUAAACCUCUUUCAGCAGGGAAGAAGCGAAAGUGACGGUACCUGCAGAAGAAGCACCGGCUAACUACGUG
Molecule: ribosomal RNA, 469 nt
Filed under: uncultured bacterium
Lineage: Bacteria
Description: partial 16S ribosomal RNA
Rfam family: Bacterial small subunit ribosomal RNA
Source: RNAcentral